This 447-nucleotide ribosomal RNA is filed under the name uncultured organism. RNAcentral's name for it is "partial 16S ribosomal RNA". It matches the Rfam family "Bacterial small subunit ribosomal RNA", at positions 333 to 797 of the family's 1533-position model. The record is from RNAcentral.
ACACUCCUACGGGAGGCAGCAGUGGGGAAUAUUGGACAAUGGGCGCAAGCCUGAUCCAGCCAUGCCGCGUGAGUGAUGAAGGCCCUAGGGUUGUAAAGCUCUUUCACCGGUGAAGAUAAUGACGGUAACCGGAGAAGAAGCCCCGGCUAACUUCGUGCCAGCAGCCGCGGUAAUACGAAGGGGGCUAGCGUUGUUCGGAUUUACUGGGCGUAAAGCGCACGUAGGCGGACUAUUAAGUCAGGGGUGAAAUCCCGGGGCUCAACCCCGGAACUGCCUUUGAUACUGGUAGUCUUGAGUUCGAGAGAGGUGAGUGGAAUUCCGAGUGUAGAGGUGAAAUUCGUAGAUAUUCGGAGGAACACCAGUGGCGAAGGCGGCUCACUGGCUCGAUACUGAAGCUGAGGUGCGAAAGCGUGGGGAGCAAACAGGAUUAGAUACCCUUGUAGUCCC